This 23-nucleotide microRNA is filed under the name Mus musculus (house mouse). Its description in RNAcentral is "microRNA miR-L-35". The record is from RNAcentral. Lineage: Eukaryota; Metazoa; Chordata; Mammalia; Rodentia; Muridae.
AUGCCUGUCGGUUACUGCCUGCU